RNAcentral lists this small nucleolar RNA (108 nucleotides) under Helianthus annuus (common sunflower). RNAcentral's name for it is "sRNA HanXRQr2_Chr08g0352891". It matches the Rfam family "Plant small nucleolar RNA R71". Rfam says of the family: R71 is a member of the C/D box family of snoRNAs containing the C (UGAUGA) and D (CUGA) box motifs. Multiple nearly identical copies of this snoRNA have been identified in Arabidopsis, and it is thought to function as a 2'-O-ribose methylation guide for 18S ribosomal RNA. The record is from Rfam by way of RNAcentral. Lineage: Eukaryota; Viridiplantae; Streptophyta; Magnoliopsida; Asterales; Asteraceae.
AGAUCAUGAUGAGGACAUUUUUCGUAAUAGCUCCUUGAAUCUUUCCCAAGUUUCAUAUAAGGAUUCCCCGUCCUCUUGUGAAUAUGUAUUGAUUUCAGUUAUUAAUUU